Long non-coding RNA from Gopherus flavomarginatus (Mexican gopher tortoise), 425 nucleotides. RefSeq lists it as uncharacterized. The transcript is spliced from 3 exons. NCBI's taxonomy places the organism in Eukaryota, Metazoa, Chordata, Testudines, Testudinidae. The record is from RefSeq and is a predicted model, not a curated record.
CCCCUGGGACCGCUCGCUGGGGACCCUGUUACUGCAAAGUCCUUCUCACUGGGCACACACUCCCAGGGGUUAAUCACCCCUUCGUUUUACUGCUCCCCAGUCACUUACUGCAGGAAGCGUUGUCCAUGGGGUGCAGUAUAUCCCACCUCUGCCACCAGUUGUCACGGAGUGUGGGGGAGUCUGGCCCUGCACCCCUCUUCCUGGGACCCACAGUGACUCUCAGCCAGCCAGUAAAACAGAAGGUUUAUUGGACAACAGGAACACAGGUUACAGCAGAGCUUGCAGGCACAGUCAGGACCCCUCCAUCGACCCCUCUGGGGUCCAGGAAGCUUAGUCCCCUGAAUUCCAACCACCCAGCCCAAAACCGAAACUAAACUCCACUCCCUCCAGCUGGCCCCUUCCUUUGUCCAGCUUCCUGGGCAAAG